GUACUAAUGGGAAACAUCAGGGAGCCCUUCAAUACCUGAGUGAAAACUCUAUACCAUCAUUCUCAUCGAACUGAGGUUC
Molecule: small nucleolar RNA, 79 nt
Filed under: Otolemur garnettii (small-eared galago)
Lineage: Eukaryota; Metazoa; Chordata; Mammalia; Primates; Galagidae
Description: Small nucleolar RNA SNORD116 (ENSOGAG00000023035.1)
Rfam family: Small nucleolar RNA SNORD116
About the family: HBII-85 is a member of the C/D class of snoRNAs, which contain the C (UGAUGA) and D (CUGA) box motifs. HBII-85 is encoded in a tandemly repeated array with another C/D snoRNA, HBII-52, in the Prader-Willi syndrome (PWS) region of chromosome 15.
Source: Rfam by way of RNAcentral